Molecule: ribosomal RNA, 1754 nt
Filed under: seawater metagenome
Description: bacterial LSU rRNA
Rfam family: Bacterial large subunit ribosomal RNA
Source: RNAcentral
CCCGAAAGGGGGCAAACGCGCUGAACUGAAACAUCUAAGUAGGCGUAGGAAGAGAAAACAAUAGUGAUUUCCGGAGUAGCGGCGAGCGAAAUGGAAAUAGCCCAAACCGAGAUUGUUUCGGCAAUUUCGGGGUUGUAGGACUACAUCAUGGACUUAUAAAGUAUAGUGGAACAACUUGGAACGGUUGGCUAUAGAGGGUGAAAGCCCCGUACACGAAAUAUUUUAUAUACCUAGUAGUAUCCUGAGUAGGGCGGGACAUGUGUAAUCCUGUCUGAAUCUACCAGAACCAUCUGGUAAGGCUAAAUACUCCUCAGAGACCGAUAGCGAACGAGUACCGUGAGGGAAAGGUGAAAAGAACCCUGAACAAGGGAGUGAAAAAGAUCCUGAAACUGUGUGUCUACAAGCGGUCGAAGCCUACGGGCGACGGCGUGCCUUUUGCAUAAUGAUCCUACGAGUUACUCCUCAUUGGCAAGGUUAAGUGUUUAAGACACGGAGCCGAAGCGAAAGCGAGUCUGAAUAGGGCGAAAUAGUCAGUGGGGGUAGACGCGAAACCUUGUGAUCUACCCAUGGCCAGGUUGAAGUUCCGGUAACACGGAAUGGAGGACCGAACCGAUAAGCGUUGAAAAGCUUUCGGAUGAGCUGUGGGUAGGGGUGAAAGGCCAAUCAAACUGGGAAAUAGCUCGUACUCCCCGAAAUGUUUUUAGGAACAGCGUGGGAAUUAGUUUAUCAGAGGUAGAGCUACCGAUUGGACUAGGGGGAGUCAAAUCCUACCAAAUCCAGACGAACUCCGAAUGCUGAUAAAUAUUUCCUGCAGUGAGGGUAAGGGUGCUAAGGUCCUUAUCCGAGAGGGAAAGAACCCAGACCUACUGCUAAGGUCCCUAAAUUUACGCUAAGUUGAACUAAGGAGGUUCAGUUGCUUAGACAGCCAGGAGGUUGGCUUGGAAGCAGCCAUUCCUUUAAAGAGUGCGUAACAGCUCACUGGUCGAGCGACAGAGCAUCGAUAAUAAUCGGGCAUUAAGUGUAAUACCGAAGCAUAGGAUUUGUAGUUUACUACAAGUGGUAGGGGAGCAUUCUCUGUGCGGUGAAGGCGUGCUGUGAGGCAUGUUGGAGCGCAGAGAAGCGCAGAUGUAGGCAUAAGUAACGAUAAUGCGGGCGAGAAACCCGCACACCGAAAGACUAAGGUUUCCUCAGCUAUGCUAAUCAGCUGAGGGUUAGUCAGGACCUAAGGCGAACCCGAAAGGGGUAGUCGAUGGACAACAGGUUAAUAUUCCUGUACCUGCUCACGUUAAAAGUGACGGAGGCGAAAAGUUAGUGCGCACAGACGGAAUUGUGCGUUGAAGAGAGUGGUAACACCUCGAUAGUACACUAAGGCUACGGCUGCGGUGAUAAUCUAGCAAAUCGACUUCCAAGAAAAGCGAGUGAAGCAGCCUGUACCCUAAACCGACACAGGUAGUUGGGAUGAGAAUUCUAAGGUGCUCGAGAGAUUCAUGGCUAAGGAACUAGGCAAAAUCGACCCGUAACUUCGGGAGAAGGGUCGCCCAUCUUCGGAUGGGCCGCAGUGAAAAGAUCCAGGCGACUGUUUAUCAAAAACACAGGGCUAUGCUAAAUCGAAAGAUGACGUAUAUGGCCUGACACCUGCCCGGUGCCGGAAGGUUAAGAGGAGGGGUUAGCUUCGGCGAAGCUCUGAAUUGAAGCCCCGGUAAACGGCGGCCGUAACUAUAACGGUCCUAAGGUAGCGAAAUUCCUUGUCGGGU